UGAUCGUGACCUUUCCCGCCUUGACC
Molecule: non-coding RNA, 26 nt
Filed under: Mus musculus (house mouse)
Lineage: Eukaryota; Metazoa; Chordata; Mammalia; Rodentia; Muridae
Source: RNAcentral